Molecule: non-coding RNA, 97 nt
Organism: Microbulbifer agarilyticus
Lineage: Bacteria; Pseudomonadati; Pseudomonadota; Gammaproteobacteria; Cellvibrionales; Microbulbiferaceae
Rfam family: Bacterial small signal recognition particle RNA
About the family: The signal recognition particle (SRP) is a universally conserved ribonucleoprotein involved in the co-translational targeting of proteins to membranes. Archaeal SRP consists of a 7S RNA and homologues of the eukaryotic SRP19 and SRP54 proteins.
Source: Rfam
UUCCGGUCUCCUCGCAAUGAUCAGCUGUGAACCCCGCCAGGCCCGGAAGGGAGCAACGGUAGCAGUGACAUCAUGUGCCGAGGGUGUGCUGGUUGGG